RNAcentral lists this ribosomal RNA (1858 nucleotides) under Escherichia coli. RNAcentral's name for it is "partial 23S ribosomal RNA". It matches the Rfam family "Bacterial large subunit ribosomal RNA", at positions 1 to 1875 of the family's 2925-position model. The record is from RNAcentral. Lineage: Bacteria; Pseudomonadati; Pseudomonadota; Gammaproteobacteria; Enterobacterales; Enterobacteriaceae.
GGGUUGUGAGGUUAAGCGACUAAGCGUACACGGUGGAUGCCCUGGCAGUCAGAGGCGAUGAAGGACGUGCUAAUCUGCGAUAAGCGUCGGUGAGGUGAUAUGAACCGUUAUAACCGGCGAUUUCCGAAUGGGGAAACCCAGUGUGUUUCGACACACUAUCAUUAACUGAAUCCAUAGGUUAAUGAGGCGAACCGGGGGAACUGAAACAUCUAAGUACCCCGAGGAAAAGAAAUCAACCGAGAUUCCCCCAGUAGCGGCGAGCGAACGGGGAGGAGCCCAGAGCCUGAAUCAGUGUGUGUGUUAGUGGAAGCGUCUGGAAAGGCGCGCGAUACAGGGUGACAGCCCCGUACACAAAAAUGCACAUAUUGUGAGCUCGAUGAGUAGGGCGGGACACGUGGUAUCCUGUCUGAAUAUGGGGGGACCAUCCUCCAAGGCUAAAUACUCCUGACUGACCGAUAGUGAACCAGUACCGUGAGGGAAAGGCGAAAAGAACCCCGGCGAGGGGAGUGAAAAAGAACCUGAAACCGUGUACGUACAAGCAGUGGGAGCCUCUUUUAUGGGGUGACUGCGUACCUUUUGUAUAAUGGGUCAGCGACUUAUAUUCUGUAGCAAGGUUAACCGAAUAGGGGAGCCGAAGGGAAACCGAGUCUUAACUGGGCGUUAAGUUGCAGGGUAUAGACCCGAAACCCGGUGAUCUAGCCAUGGGCAGGUUGAAGGUUGGGUAACACUAACUGGAGGACCGAACCGACUAAUGUUGAAAAAUUAGCGGAUGACUUGUGGCUGGGGGUGAAAGGCCAAUCAAACCGGGAGAUAGCUGGUUCUCCCCGAAAGCUAUUUAGGUAGCGCCUCGUGAAUUCAUCUCCGGGGGUAGAGCACUGUUUCGGCAAGGGGGUCAUCCCGACUUACCAACCCGAUGCAAACUGCGAAUACCGGAGAAUGUUAUCACGGGAGACACACGGCGGGUGCUAACGUCCGUCGUGAAGAGGGAAACAACCCAGACCGCCAGCUAAGGUCCCAAAGUCAUGGUUAAGUGGGAAACGAUGUGGGAAGGCCCAGACAGCCAGGAUGUUGGCUUAGAAGCAGCCAUCAUUUAAAGAAAGCGUAAUAGCUCACUGGUCGAGUCGGCCUGCGCGGAAGAUGUAACGGGGCUAAACCAUGCACCGAAGCUGCGGCAGCGACGCUUAUGCGUUGUUGGGUAGGGGAGCGUUCUGUAAGCCUGCGAAGGUGUGCUGUGAGGCAUGCUGGAGGUAUCAGAAGUGCGAAUGCUGACAUAAGUAACGAUAAAGCGGGUGAAAAGCCCGCUCGCCGGAAGACCAAGGGUUCCUGUCCAACGUUAAUCGGGGCAGGGUGAGUCGACCCCUAAGGCGAGGCCGAAAGGCGUAGUCGAUGGGAAACAGGUUAAUAUUCCUGUACUUGGUGUUACUGCGAAGGGGGGACGGAGAAGGCUAUGUUGGCCGGGCGACGGUUGUCCCGGUUUAAGCGUGUAGGCUGGUUUUCCAGGCAAAUCCGGAAAACCAAGGCUGAGGCGUGAUGACGAGGCACUACGGUGCUGAAGCGACAAAUGCCCUGCUUCCAGGAAAAGCCUCUAAGCAUCAGGUAACAUCAAAUCGUACCCCAAACCGACACAGGUGGUCAGGUAGAGAAUACCAAGGCGCUUGAGAGAACUCGGGUGAAGGAACUAGGCAAAAUGGUGCCGUAACUUCGGGAGAAGGCACGCUGAUAUGUAGGUGAAGCGACUUGCUCGUGGAGCUGAAAUCAGUCGAAGAUACCAGCUGGCUGCAACUGUUUAUUAAAAACACAGCACUGUGCAAACACGAAAGUGGACGUAUACGGUGUGACGCCUGCCCGGUGCCGGAAG